This 1479-nucleotide long non-coding RNA is filed under the name Mus pahari (shrew mouse). Its description in RNAcentral is "lncRNA (MGP_PahariEiJ_G0003843.1)". Lineage: Eukaryota; Metazoa; Chordata; Mammalia; Rodentia; Muridae. The record is from RNAcentral.
ACAACUCCUCACGCAAAACCAGAGGACUUGACGUUCCACUCCCCUACUCUGGAGGCCUCGGCCGGCCUUCGGAAAGCUGCCAGCUCGCAGCGAGACAGCGUGCGCUGUGCCAAGCGCGCACGACGGCGGCCCGGAGCCGGCCUCGGCUGACCCAGGAAACCACGCGCCCGGACCCUCCGAGUCCCCAGACAACUUCCUCCCUUCUUCCCGGGCCUGAGGCGCCACGACCGCUUCCGCACAGUGCACGUCACCUGUACAAAGGUGUGUCUUUCGCUGCAGGAACUGUACUUGUGCCUGGUGGUCCUUCCGAGCCGUCUCAGCUUUCACAUCCUCCAGUUCCUUCUCUAACAUCUGGAUUUUCAUCUGCUGGCUCUUCUGUGUGGAGGAAAUGUGCUCCAUUGACUGAAAUUGCUGCUCCAACUGGAACUGCUUGAUCUUUCCCUGAAAGAGCUGUGUUUGAAGUUCCUCAGUUUGCUUGGCGAACCUGAGUGUCAGUUCUUGUUUCCUUUGCAUAAUCUCCCCCCAUUGCUGAACACGCUGGCUCCACAGUUGCCAGUGUUUCUGUUUACACUGCUCACUUUGCUUCCUUAGGACUCGCAAAAGGCAGUUCUUCUCGGCUCCCACACAGAGAGUGUCACGCUGCAGCAGCCUGCUGUCUUGCAGCAGGCGCUCCUGCUUGAGCCUGGCCCCUUCUAUUUUUCUGUUCAGGCUCUCCAGUGCCUCGAUUGUCUUGUUUUUUACCUUGUUCUCUAAUUCUGUUAGCCUCUCUGACUUGAAAAGUUCAUUUAGAAUAGUAAGAUACGUUGAUGGCUGAGGAGAACCUUUUGAACUCUGGGCAAACCUGGAGGAAGAACAAAGGAAAUAUUCUUUUAUCAGUUCUUUAGGCACAAGUGAGAAAAUAAUAUUUGGAAACUAAAGCUUCGGGUUCCAUCAUGUGCCAGAAAGGGUCAGUGCUGGUUAGAUUUUUGACAAGUUGGUACAUUCAGGAACUAUUUGGGAGGAGGAACUGCAUUGAGAAAAGUGACUCCAUCAGAUUAUCUGUAGAACUCUGUCUCUCUCUUUCUCUUUUUUAAAGAUGUAUUUAUUAUUAUAUCUUAAGUACACUGUAGCUGUCUUCAGACACACCAGAAGAGGGCAUCAGAUCUCAUUAUAGUUGGUUGUGAGGUACCAUAUGGUUGCUGGGAUUUAAACUCAGGACCUUUGGAACAGCAGUCAGUGCUCUUAACUGCUGAGCCAUCUCUCCAGCCCCUCUGUCUCUCUUUGAAUUAAAGAUUGAUUGAUGUGGGUGGGCCCAGCCCUUGAGGGUAAGGUGACACCCCUAGGCAGGUGGUCCUUAACUGAAUAGGAAAGCAGUCCAAGCAACUGAGCAAUUUAUCUCCACGGCUUCUGCUUCAGUUCCUGUCUCCAGGUUCCUGUCUUGAGCUCCUGGCCCUGGGAACUGUGAUACAGAAGAAAAGAUGAAAUAAACCCUUCCCAGUG